CCUACGGGAGGCAGCAGUGAGGAAUAUUGGUCAAUGGACGAGAGUCUGAACCAGCCAAGUAGCGUGAAGGAUGACUGCCCUAUGGGUUGUAAACUUCUUUUAUACAGGAAUAAAAUGAGGCACGUGUGCUUUUUUGCAUGUACCUUAUGAAUAAGGAUCGGCUAACUCCGUGCCAGCAGCCGCGGUAAUACGGAGGAUCCGAGCGUUAUCCGGAUUUAUUGGGUUUAAAGGGAGCGUAGACGGGUUGUUAAGUAAGUUGUGAAAGUUUGUGGCUCAACCGUAAAAUUGCAGUUGAUACUGGCAGGCUUGAGUGCAGUUGAGGUAGGCGGAAUUCGUGGUGUAGCGGUGAAAUGCUUAGAUAUCACGAAGAACCCCGAUUGCGAAGGCAGCUUACGAAACUGUGACUGACAUUGAUGCUCGAAAGUGUGGGUAUCAAACAGGAUUAGAUACCCUAGUAGUC
This 460-nucleotide ribosomal RNA is filed under the name uncultured bacterium. Its description in RNAcentral is "partial 16S ribosomal RNA". It matches the Rfam family "Bacterial small subunit ribosomal RNA", at positions 338 to 795 of the family's 1533-position model. The record is from RNAcentral.